UGCAGUCGAACGAUGAAGCUGGAGCUUGCUCCGGCCGAUUAGUGGCGAACGGGUGAGUAACACGUGAGCAAUCUGCCCUUGACUCUGGGAUAACUGCGGGAAACUGUAGCUAAUACCGGAUACUUUCCUCGCUGGGCAUCCAGCGGGGAAGAAAGAAUUUCGGUCAAGGAUGAGCUCGCGGCCUAUCAGCUAGUUGGUGAGGUAAAGGCUCACCAAGGCGACGACGGGUAGCCGGCCUGAGAGGGUGACCGGCCACACUGGAACUGAGACACGGUCCAGACUCCUACGGGAGGCAGCAGUGGGGAAUAUUGCACAAUGGGCGAAAGCCUGAUGCAGCAACGCCGCGUGAGGGAUGAAGGCCUUCGGGUUGUAAACCUCUUUUAGCAGGGAAGAAGCGAAAGUGACGGUACCUGCAGAAAAAGCACCGGCUAACUACGUGCCAGCAGCCGCGGUAAUACGUAGGGUGCAAGCGUUGUCCGGAAUUAUUGGGCGUAAAGAGCUCGUAGGCGGUUUGUCACGUCUGCUGUGAAAAUCCGAGGCUCAACCUCGGACUUGCAGUGGGUACGGGCAGGCUAGAGUGCGGUAGGGGAGAAGGGAAUUCCUGGUGUAGCGGUGGAAUGCGCAGAUAUCAGGAGGAACACCAAUGGCGAAGGCACUUCUCUGGGCCGUAACUGACGCUGAGGAGCGAAAGCGUGGGGAGCGAACAGGAUUAGAUACCCUGGUAGUCCACGCCGUAAACGGUGGGUGCUAGCUGUGGGCCACAUUCCACGU
RNAcentral lists this ribosomal RNA (771 nucleotides) under uncultured Actinomycetes bacterium. RNAcentral's name for it is "bacterial SSU rRNA". It matches the Rfam family "Bacterial small subunit ribosomal RNA", at positions 56 to 837 of the family's 1533-position model. The record is from RNAcentral. Lineage: Bacteria; Bacillati; Actinomycetota; Actinomycetes.